This 465-nucleotide ribosomal RNA is filed under the name uncultured bacterium. RNAcentral describes it as "partial 16S ribosomal RNA". It matches the Rfam family "Bacterial small subunit ribosomal RNA", at positions 338 to 795 of the family's 1533-position model. The record is from RNAcentral.
CCUACGGGAGGCAGCAGUGGGGAAUUUUGGACAAUGGGCGCAAGCCUGAUCCAGCUAUUCCGCGUGUGUGAAGACGGCCUUCGGGUUGUAAACCACUUUUGUAGAGAACGAAAAGUCUAUUGAUAAUACCGAUAGACGAUGACGGUACUCUAAGAAUAAGCACCGGCUAAAUACGUACCAGCAGCCGCGGUAAUACGUAGGGUGCGAGCGUUAAGCGCAAUUACUGGGCGUAAAGGGUGUGCAGGCGGUUUUGCAAGAUGGGUGUGAAAGCCCCGGGCUUAACCUGGGAAAGACAUACAUGACGGAAAGACUAGAGGGCGUAAGAGGGGGGUGGAAUUCCAAGGGUAGCAGGGAAAGGCGUGGAUAUUUGGAAGAACACCGAUGGCGAAGGCAGCCACCUGGGACGCAACUGACGCUAAGACACGAAAGGGUGGGGAGCAAACAGGAUUAGAAACCCCUGUAGUC